This 29-nucleotide small RNA is filed under the name Bombyx mori (domestic silkworm). RNAcentral describes it as "ovarian small RNA-33708". The record is from RNAcentral. Lineage: Eukaryota; Metazoa; Arthropoda; Insecta; Lepidoptera; Bombycidae.
UGCCAUGUAUGCGCGAACUCGCGCAAGAG